This is a long non-coding RNA of Dromaius novaehollandiae (emu), 1209 nucleotides long. RefSeq lists it as uncharacterized. The transcript is spliced from 4 exons. NCBI's taxonomy places the organism in Eukaryota, Metazoa, Chordata, Aves, Casuariiformes, Dromaiidae. The record is from RefSeq and is a predicted model, not a curated record.
CUGGGCGUGAGCGGUAGGAGGGGGUGGGGGUCGGGCCGCGGUGCCGGCGGUUGGUGCCGUUCCCGGCCGUUGCCCCCCUCAGCAGGGGUGGUGCGAUGCUUGUGGCGCGGCUGGCGGCGGGCUCCUGGCCCCUUCCCCGCCCUCGAUAGAAAUCAGCACCGUAGUUACGGGGACAUCUGGAACACUGUGGCUUUCUAGAACCUUCCAGAAACCCUUCCUUGCAGAACAAAGAAUUGGAAACAAUACACCAGAAAGAGACCUUAAGAAGUCAUCUGCUCACUCGUCUUCCCAACAGUACAUCACGCUGGUCUCAACAGACAUUUGACCACUUUCUCCUAAAAACCUCCAUGGGCAAAGAUGUAUCACUACCCAGAGGUAUCAUUGCAUGCAUCCUAUUUUCAUCUGAAAAAAAUGUUCACCCUUUGCAGAACUUCCAUGGAUGAAUUCCCCAUCCUGCUAAGAAAAUUAAUUUGAAUGGGAAACACCAGAAGGGAAAAGUGUUUGGAUCUGAGUUACCAAUGCACAGCUGAAAAUUCACAAAAUCUCAACAAGCAACAAUAUGAAUGGCUGAGGAAGCUAGACUGGAUGUUGAGCACUCCUGAAUUAAAUAAAAGGAGCUGUCCUUAUGGCUGAACUAUCCCUCCAGAUCACAGAAGAAAGGUCUGGAGCUUUUCUUUAGGGAGAACAAAAGAGAUGUCACAGGGAAAAGAAGAAUGGAAUGACUUGAAAGGACCACCGCAAGCUUUGAAAAGGUGUCUUGAGAUAGCAUCCUUCUAUUUUAUUCUUUUCUUUUCUUUCCACUGUGCAUUUGUGUGGUUUUCUCCUGGGAUAUAACAUCUUCCAAAUUAUAUGAGUUCUUCUGAUCCAUUUUAUGACUGCUUAUGCCUAACACAAAUCCUGUAGAAAUAAUUUCACAUUUUUCCUUCCAGUUGUACUUUUAGUAACAUUUAUAAUUAUCUGCCAAUAAUCCUAUAUUUUUCAGCAAUAUCAAUUUAAAUGUGCUGAGUUAUCUUUCCACUGUAAUUUCUCCACUGCUGUUUCUAUUGCAGCAAUUUCAUGGACUAGAGCAUUGUAGAGCUAUAAUUUGGAAUAUAUAUAAAAUUUAUUGCGAGUUCCCAUCAAGUCAUAGGCUGUAGCACUGCUUGUGGUACACACUAUUAUUUCAUUGUAUUCUUUCAUUUCUGCUUGAAAUGUGAAAGAUUCUUUUCA